RNAcentral lists this ribosomal RNA (253 nucleotides) under uncultured bacterium. RNAcentral's name for it is "partial 16S ribosomal RNA". It matches the Rfam family "Bacterial small subunit ribosomal RNA", at positions 524 to 776 of the family's 1533-position model. The record is from RNAcentral.
UACGUAGGGUGCAAGCAUUAAUCGGAUUUAUUGGGCGUAAAGGGCGCGUAGGCUGGCAUGCCAGUCAGAUGUGAAAGCCCGGGGCUCAACCCCGGAACAGCAUUUGAAACUACAUUCCUAGAGGGUAGGCGGAGAAAACGGAAUUCCACAAGUAGCGGUGAAAUGCGUAGAUAUGUGGAAGAACACCAGUGGCGAAGGCGGUUUUCUAGCUUAUACCUGACGCUGAGGCGCGAAAGCAAGGGGAGCAAACAGG